RNAcentral lists this ribosomal RNA (397 nucleotides) under uncultured bacterium. RNAcentral's name for it is "partial 16S ribosomal RNA". It matches the Rfam family "Bacterial small subunit ribosomal RNA", at positions 523 to 918 of the family's 1533-position model. The record is from RNAcentral.
AUACGUAGGGGGCGAGCGUUGUCCGGAAUGAUUGGGCGUAAAGGGCGCGUAGGCGGCGCGGUAAGUCUGGAGUGAAAGUCCUGCUUUCAAGGGGGGAAUUGCUUUGGAUACUGCCGCGCUUGAGUGCAGGAGAGGUUAUCGGAAUUCCCGGUGUAGCGGUGAAAUGCGUAGAGAUCGGGAGGAACACCAGUGGCGAAGGCGGGUAACUGGACUGCAACUGACGCUGAGGCGCGAAAGUGUGGGGAGCAAACAGGAUUAGAUACCCUGGUAGUCCACACUGUAAACGAUGAAUGCUAGGUGUAAGAGGUAUCGACCCCUUUUGUGCCGGAGUCAACACAAUAAGCAUUCCGCCUGGGGAGUACGGCCGCAAGGUUGAAACUUAAAGGAAUUGACGGGG